CGGGGUGUAGCGCAGUCUGGCUAGCGCACCUGCUUUGGGAGCAGGGGGUCGUAGGUUCGAAUCCUAUCACCCCGA
RNAcentral lists this transfer RNA (75 nucleotides) under Planctomycetota bacterium. RNAcentral's name for it is "tRNA-Pro". It matches the Rfam family "tRNA". From Rfam's summary of the family: Transfer RNA (tRNA) molecules are approximately 80 nucleotides in length. The record is from RNAcentral. Lineage: Bacteria; Pseudomonadati; Planctomycetota. RNAcentral also lists the same sequence under 1 other name.